RNAcentral lists this ribosomal RNA (485 nucleotides) under uncultured bacterium. RNAcentral's name for it is "bacterial SSU rRNA". It matches the Rfam family "Bacterial small subunit ribosomal RNA", at positions 328 to 793 of the family's 1533-position model. The record is from RNAcentral.
CGCUAUCACUCCUACGGGAGGCAGCAGGUGGGAAUAUUGGACAAUGGGCGAAAGCCUGAUCCAGCCAUGCCGCGUGUGUGAAGAAGGUCUUCGGAUUGUAAAGCACUUUAAGUUGGGAGGAAGGGCAGUAAGUUAAUACCUUGCUGUUUUGACGUUACCAACAGAAUAAGCACCGGCUAACUUCGUGCCAGCAGCCGCGGUAAUACGAAGGGUGCAAGCGUUAAUCGGAAUUACUGGGACGUAAAGCGCGCGUAGGUGGUUCAGCAAGUUGGAUGUAGAAACGUCCCCCGGGCUACAACCGUGGGAACUGCAUACCAAAACUACUGAGCUAGAGUACGGUAGGAGGGUGGUGGUAAUUUCCUGUGUAGCGGUAGAAAUGCGUAGAUAUAGGAAGGAACACCAGUGGCGAAGGCGACCACCUGGACUGAUACUGACACUGAGGUGACGAAAGCGUGGGGAGCAAACAGGAUUAGAUACCCUGGUAG